Molecule: ribosomal RNA, 301 nt
Filed under: uncultured bacterium
Lineage: Bacteria
Description: partial 16S ribosomal RNA
Rfam family: Bacterial small subunit ribosomal RNA
Source: RNAcentral
CAGCAGCCGCGGGAAUACGAAGGGUGCAAGCGUUAAUCGGAAUUACUGGGCGUAAAGCGCGCGUAGGUGGUUUGGUAAGAUGGAUGUGAAAUCCCCGGGCUCAACCUGGGAACUGCAUCCAUAACUGCCUGACUAGAGUACGGUAGAGGGUGGUGGAAUUUCCUGUGUAGCGGUGAAAUGCGUAGAUAUAGGAAGGAACACCAGUGGCGAAGGCGACCACCUGGACUGAUACUGACACUGAGGUGCGAAAGCGUGGGGAGCAAACAGGAUUAGAGACCUUAGUAGUCCCUGUCUCUUAUAU